RNAcentral lists this ribosomal RNA (456 nucleotides) under uncultured bacterium. RNAcentral's name for it is "bacterial SSU rRNA". It matches the Rfam family "Bacterial small subunit ribosomal RNA", at positions 343 to 791 of the family's 1533-position model. The record is from RNAcentral.
GGGAGGCAGCAGUGGGGAAUUUUGGACAAUGGGCGCAAGCCUGAUCCAGCCAUUCCGCGUGCAGGAUGAAGGCCUUCGGGUUGUAAACUGCUUUUGUACGGAACGAAACGCUCUGGGUUAAUACCCCGGGGUAAUGACGGUACCGUAAGAAUAAGCACCGGCUAACUACGUGCCAGCAGCCGCGGUAAUACGUAGGGUGCAAGCGUUAAUCGGAAUUACUGGGCGUAAAGCGUGCGCAGGCGGUGAUGUAAGACAGGUGUGAAAUCCCCGGGCUUAACCUGGGAACUGCAUUUGUGACUGCAUCGCUGGAGUGCGGCAGAGGGGGAUGGAAUUCCGCGUGUAGCAGUGAAAUGCGUAGAUAUGCGGAGGAACACCGAUGGCGAAGGCAAUCCCCUGGGCCUGCACUGACGCUCAUGCACGAAAGCGUGGGGAGCAAACAGGAUUAGAUACCCCGGU